Molecule: ribosomal RNA, 321 nt
Filed under: Triticum aestivum (bread wheat)
Lineage: Eukaryota; Viridiplantae; Streptophyta; Magnoliopsida; Poales; Poaceae
Description: partial small subunit ribosomal RNA
Source: RNAcentral
AUGGUUUGGAGCUGCUCAAAAAAGGUGUCAUAUGGCGGGUGGGGGACGAGGAGCACAUCCGGACGUGGCGAGAUCCUUGGAUCCCACGACCAUCUUCCUUCCGGCCGAUCGCUCCAAAAGGCUCAUGCCGUCUCAAUCGUGUUUCAGCGUUUCUGGAUGCUAAUGGGGCAUGGAGGGCUGAUCGCCUCCGUGAAUAUUUUUGGGAGAUGGAUGUUCAGCAUAUUCUCAAAAUUCGAACUUCUCCAAGACAGUGGUCUGACUUUAUCUCAUGGUAUCCAGAGAAGAGUGGAGUUUUCUCAGUUAAAAGUGCAUACAAAUUAG